Fundulus heteroclitus (mummichog) is the source of this 185-nucleotide long non-coding RNA. RefSeq lists it as uncharacterized. The record is from RefSeq and is a predicted model, not a curated record. The transcript has 2 exons. NCBI's taxonomy places the organism in Eukaryota, Metazoa, Chordata, Actinopteri, Cyprinodontiformes, Fundulidae.
AAUUUCCACUCCAAGCUGACAUUGCUUUCCUGUUGGAUGGCUCUGGAAGUGUAUCUAGUGAAGAUUUUAGAAGAAUGAAAGAUUUUGUGAAAGGGCUGAUUAGAUCCUUCCUGGGAAAAGAUACACAGUUUGCCAUUACCCAGUAUUCCCGUUCUACAGUAACACAUUAUUACUUUAAUUCUUUU